Molecule: long non-coding RNA, 311 nt
Organism: Sipha flava (yellow sugarcane aphid)
Lineage: Eukaryota; Metazoa; Arthropoda; Insecta; Hemiptera; Aphididae
Exons: 4
Source: RefSeq, a predicted model, not a curated record
UUGGGAUUUUUUUUUGGACCGACCCAAAUCAAUUUUCCUCCGGGAGCCGGGGAUCCUCUUUUCAUUUCUCCUUCUGAAUUCUACACUUUGAAUAUUUAAUGAACUUGGAUUUUCCUUUGUUUCAACCUUAACAAGGUGUCCUUCGAGAGCCGGAACUUGGGAUUUUUUUUGGACUCAAAUCAAUUUUCUUCCGGGAGCCGGGGAUCCCUUUUUCAUUUCUACUUCUGAACUCUACACUUUGAAUAUUAAAUGAACUUGGAUUAUUCUUUGUUUAUACCCAAAGGAAGUGUCAUUGGAGAGCUCGAUAACUA